AACGAACGCUGGCGGCAUGCCUAACACAUGCAAGUCGAACGAGACCUUCGGGUCUAGUGGCGCACGGGUGCGUAACGCGUGGGAACCUGCCCUUAGGUUCGGAAUAACUCCCCGAAAGGGGUGCUAAUACCGGAUAAUGUCUUCGGACCAAAGAUUUAUCGCCUUUGGAUGGGCCCGCGUUGGAUUAGCUAGUUGGUAGGGUAAAAGCCUACCAAGGCGACGAUCCGUAGCUGGUCUGAGAGGAUGAUCAGCCACACUGGGACUGAGACACGGCUCAGACUCCUACGGGAGGCAGCAGUGGGGAAUAUUGGACAAUGGGCGAAAGCCUGAUCCAGCAAUGCCGCGUGAGUGAUGAAGGCCUUAGGGUUGUAAAGCUCUUUUACCCGGGAUGAUAAUGACAGUACCGGGAGAAUAAGCUCCGGCUAACUCCGUG
Molecule: ribosomal RNA, 433 nt
Filed under: uncultured bacterium
Lineage: Bacteria
Description: partial 16S ribosomal RNA
Rfam family: Bacterial small subunit ribosomal RNA
Source: RNAcentral